UGUCAUAAGUACUUAAUUUGACAUUCAGCUGUAGUAGCCAUAUGUUCUUUGAUUUCCUUAUGAGCACCAUGAUGGAAACACUCAAAUGAAUUUGAGAAAAAUUGGAAGAAAUUAGAUUAUCGGGUUCUGUUAAACUGUUAAUGUAUCUUGCUUAAAUUUUUGUUCAUUAAUUUAUAUCCAUCCAAUUAUAUAAAGCAAAUUUGGAGGAAACAGCUGAAGUUGUGCAAUAUUUUCAGUGAUAAUUACUUUUUGUUCUUGUGUUUUCUACUUAAAACAUGAUGUCUAUGUUAUCCAGUAUUAUAGUCAGACCUUCUUUUCUAGAUUUUCAGAAUUUCUAAAUGAACUUUUUUUAAAAAAAUAAAUUUCCACAUUGAUUUUAGUCUUUCUUUGUUAUAAGGCUUCUUUCACAGAAGUUUGGUAAUAUUGAAGUCACCGGUAUUGAACAGAAUGAUUUUG
RNAcentral lists this long non-coding RNA (456 nucleotides) under Marmota monax (woodchuck). Lineage: Eukaryota; Metazoa; Chordata; Mammalia; Rodentia; Sciuridae. The record is from RNAcentral.